GAGAGCGGCGCGGGGCCCGGCGGCGGCGCUGCGAAGAAAGGCAGGGCCGCGCUGAGCGAGCGAGCGGCUGCCAUCGGCGAGGCGUUCGACUUUAGGGGGUGGAGAGUGGAGCAGGAACCAGGCGUGAGCCGGCUCCUGCUAAAACUUUGCCAUCGCGCUGCUUUUUGGUUCGUCGGGCUGCAGUUUCCAUAGAAGCAACUUAUCCCCGCGAUCAUCUUGUUGGGUGCACUUUGCAAGCUCAUUUCCCGUCUGAGUUUGCUCCGCUGCUCUCAGAUGCUGCAGCUGACACAUUUCCUCCCCGUGCACUUUGCACCCACCUCAUCCUUGCCCAGAUGCUCGGGGCUGAUUGUGCCUAAAAGGGGGUUUCAUUGCGCUCUGCAGCUGCCUCGGGGGAAGGGAGUAUUAUUUUUUUGAAUUCUGCUUUUCCCCUUCUCCAGCACCACGCAGGCAGCAGGCCUUCCUCACUGCCCUGUCCCAGCCUUGGCGCAAGGAAGCAGCCCCUGCCACGUGCCCAUCUUGUGCGAGUGCUGCCAGUGACUGUGGGGCCCCGUCCGUGUGGCAGCCCUGGGGAGCAGCAGUGGAGACCUCUCCUUGCUCCCGACGUUACUUCUGGAUGCUCUGCCGGAGUGCAGAGCCCCUGGGAUCUCGUUGGCAGCAUCCUGCUCCCCAUCACCACUGCCUGGAACCUCAAUUGGCCAGAUGGUGCUCAUUGCUUCCAUUCUGAACUUCCUGCCGUGUCCCAAGGAUGGCUGUCCCUUUCAUCCUUGCUUCUGAAAUGCUCCUUUGUCCAUGGGUGUGUUCCCCUGCCCCCCGAGCCUCCUCUUGUAGAUCCUGCAUCCCUAAUUCUCACUAGUACCACUGCUUCCCCAAAUCCUGCUUUGCUACAGCAGGGCUCGGCAACCCCCAGAACACGGUCACACCUUUGCUGGGUCCCUUUUCCAAACUCCAUUCUCUUCUGUGCCUUCUUUGCAGAUGCCAUGGAUCUGCUCCAGCAAGACCUCUUUUCCCUCCCCCCACUAUACUUCUGGAUAACAUUGCUUUUGUAUGGCAAUGUUUGCCUUCAUCUGUACUUCUGCACAUUCCUCAUCUGUUGCUGUUGUAUUCCCAAGCUUGGAGGCUUGCAAGGGUUUCUCAUCUCUGUAGCAGGACCAGUGCCCCCAAGGCAUUUCUGUGUAAACUCCACCUGCAAAGGGCUAUUGCUGAGCUGAUGCUACUGGAAGAAUGUUGCCAUGAAAUCCAUUUGAAAGCAACAGCUCUCUGGCACAGUGCACACCUGUGUGAAUAAGGUCACAAAAUGCUUGGCUCCGUUUCACUGGAUAAAGGAAGGAUUGGAAACUGCGUUGGUCAGUGAAGACUUUAAUACCUGUUCCAGGUCGGGUACCCACCCCCACUGCCUUACAACUUAAAUCUUAGGAUAAUUAUGAGGAUAGAUGCUUCUGUAUAGAACACUGUGCAUUUGUUGUUACUCAGUAGUAAUAAUGUUUCAUGAACACAGGGGAGGAAUGAAGGCUGCGCUGCAACUGUUGGUGAAUCUAUUAUCCUGCCUUCCUUUACAGCACUGCACCUACAGGAUGAAAAGCUCUGUAAUAUGGAGUAAGCAGUACUGAUUCAGUGGUUUACUGAAGCUACUGUUGUUGGUUCUGUUAGGACAACAUCCACAGUGCUUUUUAGCUAAUGCAUACAGCGAAAUAUUUUACAGUCUGGGAAGGCUCAUUCCGCUCAGGUUUGGAUACUGGAAAUGCAACUCAACCAAAUGUGUGCAGCGAGUCCCAAAUGCACCCUCUGAAGUCCCACUGAACCACAUGAGUUCUGAAGUUUCUUAGGCUGUAAAAACUUUGCUUCUCUGUGGACCCAGAAUCAGUGUUAUCUAGGUUAAGCUGACUUUCUUAGCCACUGUCUGCUGCAUUAACCCAUCUGGGAAUCACAAAAUAGGUACGUGUCUAAGUCUCUUGAGAAUCCUGGUCCAGGAGGUGUGCUCAGAUCAUGCUUAAAUGCACAUUGACAGCGUGGAGCUUAGCACAAAGCACAGCAGCUGUAGCUGCUGGAAAGUUUAAGGGGGAGAGAAGGAAAAGAACUGCUUCGCUUUUGUAAAUUGUUUUUCUCGUGAGAGCACUUGCCCUGGAAGUGAGAGAGUGAAUACUCUCCUCAUUAGAGAGGUGUUACGAACUCCCUCCUGCUUGCAAAGCACCCCCAACGACCGAAGAUAAGGCUGAGGUGGAGGAUACCCACCCAUCCUGUUGAAGCUUGCCGCUGUAAAGAAAAGGAUGCAAAUUUCAAAGGGCCAGAGGGAUUACAAACAAGAGGGAGCCUGUCACUGUAGCUCUGGGGCAAAGGCAUCUCCUGGAUAGCAAGAAGCUUGAAUGCCAGGCCUGGCCUGGCAGACUCACCCGUUCUUGAGGGUGAGGUUCAUCUCACCUUAUCUUAUUUACUUAGAAGUUUGCUGUUCUUGUCUCUCCUCAGUCAGUGAGAAGAGAGAACAAGAGACACCUGCACAGAAUGAUUCAUUCUGUGCCUGUUCAACACUGCUCUGGAUGGAACAAAUCUCCUUGCUGGGUGUUGUCUCUCUCCAUCAAUUCUCAACAGAAGUUAGACAACCAGUUCUGAGCAGAAGCCCAAUUUACGGGUGCCACGUGAGAUGAAUUCUACCGUAGAUGACUAAUUUUUCUCAUUCAUCAUACCUGCUUUUGGCCUGUAGAAGUUGGGCUUGUAACAAAGUUAGUCAUUUUAGUUCUGUCUUUGUACAAUGGCGAUUCCCUCCCCUCGCAAUCUGGAGACUGAUAGCUGAGGUGAAUUGACCUUGGAUGAUGUUUAUCUUUGUCUGAGCCCUGUAAACUCCUCAUGAGCACGCGUGCUCCUCCUUUGCACUUGCUGGGCUGUCUGAAAAUGGAAUGUGGAACUAUUAAAUGACAUUGUGCAAACUUAUUUUGUGGAUGGUCUGAGUGGCUGGAGAGACUGUACCAUUUUAAUUUGAGAGCUGCCAGUUUCAUAAAAAUAUGCAUUAAAAUAUAGGAAGAUAGAGUCUUCAACUAGGACUUUCAAAAAACUGAAAGGCUGCUUAUUUAAAUCAAUGGAGAUCGGGUACUCUGGAAAGUACCACUAAGCUUAUGUUGCAUUUUAGGCACUUUCAUCCAGAAAAAUCUGUCUCUGACUUCUAAAACUGAAGAUUGGGUGCCCUUAAAAAUGCUACCUUUAAUCCUAUCCCUGAAGAGGCAAGUAUGUAAUUUUCAGUUUCAAAAAACUAUAGUUUUUCAUUUUUCAUGACGUGGAUUGGUGCUGAGGUGUGUAACAGGAUAACUCCCCAGCAUGUACCUCAUUGUUUCAUCAGAGAUCAGCAAAAGGUCGCCCAACUUUUUUAUCAGAUUUCAACUGCGUGCUUUUUUGUGCUGCUCUUCAGUUUGGUGCACGUACAGCCUGUGCAAAAGGAUGAAUGCAGAAAAAGGCAAGCUGUGUGUUUUUAUGAUUUAAUAUUUGUCAGAGGCCAUCUAAAGGUUAUGUCCAGCCAUUUUCAAAGUUUAGAUUGCAGAGGCAAUAGUGUCCAGCUUGGCAAAAUGAAAGUCGUAUGUUCUGACGGGUGUUUAGCUGCAAACAUAGCUGGAGAGGAUUCCACCACAUUGUUCAUGUCAGUCACUGUGUAGUCCUGAGUGCCUUCAAGUACUGCGAGACACAAGCUUGAGCAACUUUUUUCUUUUCUUAUCAAAAUACUGAAAUUAUGUGUGUAUGCAAGAUGUUUAAAUUUGGCAACAGAAAAAUAAUUGGGAAUCGGCUCAAAAUUAAAUUACUUAAGGCCUCAAGCUAUUGUUUCUAGCAGAGACAAGAGGUCUGACAACAUUAGAAGGAUAUGCAAACUUUUGAGAGUAUUUUGGGCCAGAACAGAACAGCUGAUUUAUGCCUCGCUGAGGAUCUCAGUUAUUCUUGUUUGGAUCUGUAUCAGAAUUUGGAUUUUUUUUUUUAAUUUCUUAAUUUCCUGCUGUAUCACUGUGCUUUCUUUUCAGCCCAGUAGCAUAACUUCUGAGCUUUUGUGCUCUUUGUUCUCUUUCACAGCCCUACAGGUCUAUUGAUUCUGGAGGUGAGAUUGAUCUCACUUGAUGUAAAGCAUACAUCUGGUAGAUACCUAUAACUAAUCCUUUCUCUCAAGACUCUGUUUACUGACCACCGAUAAAAUCAUUGCUUUUGCAGUGACUGUCACUCUAAUCACAGAAUCAUAGAAUCACAGAAUCACCGCCAUUGAAAAAGACCUCCAAGAUCAUCCAGUCCCACCAUCCACCUACCACUAAUAUUUCCCACUAAACCACGUUCCCCAGCACAUCUAAACGUUUCUUGAACACCUCCAGGGAUGGUGACUCAACCACCUCCCUGGUUGAGAGCCCCAUCCAGUGCCUGACCAAUCCUUUGGAGAAGAAAUUUUUCCUAAUGUCCAACCUGAAUCUCCCAACUUGAUGCCAUCCCCUCUCAUCCUACUGCUCGUUGUGCAGGAGUAGAGGCCAACCCUCACAUUGCCACAGCCUCCUUUCAGACAGUUGUAGAGCGCUUUAAGGUCUCCCCCGAGUCUCCUUUCCUCCAGACUACACAGCCCCCUUACCCAACCCACUCCUCAUUAGCCUCUCCAGACCCCUCACAGUUCUUGUUGCCCUUCUUUGGACACGCUCCAGGGCUUUGAUGUCUUUGUUGCAGCCAGGGACCCAAAACUGUACACAGUACUUGAGGUGUGGCCUCAGCAGAGCUGAGUAUGGGAAGAAGAUCACUUCCCUGCUCCUUCUGGCAGCACUGUUUCUUAUACAAGCCAGGAUGGCAUUGGCUGCCUGGGCACACUGCUGGCUCAUGUUCAGCCGAGUGUCGACAUCACUCCCAGGUCCGUUUCUUCUGCUCAGUCUUGUAGUACCUUUGUCCCAAGCCUGCAGCGCUACCUGGGGUUGUUGCGACCAAAGCGCAGGACCCAGCACUUGGUCUUGUUGAACUUCAUCCCACUGACCUCAGCCCAGUGGUCCAGCCUGGGCUGGAUCCCUCUGUAGGGCCUUCCUCCCCUCGGGCAGAUCAGCACUUCCUCCCAGCUUGGUGUCACCUGCAGACUUACUGAGGGUGCACUCAAUCCACUCAUCCAAGACAUCAAGGAAGAUACCAAACAGGACAGGCCCCAGCACCGACCCCUGGGGAGCAUUACUCAUGAUCUGUGGCCCAGCCUUCCAGCCUGUUCUUUACCCAGCGAAGCGUGUACCUCACCUCACUGUAGCCUCACUGGCCGUGGGCUGCCGGCUUCUCCAGGAGAAUACUGUGGGAGACAGUAUCAAAAACUAUGCUGAAGCCUAGGUAAGAUCAUGUUGACAUAAUAUAGCCAAUCACAAAAUCACCAACUUUGGAAAAGACCUCCAAGAUCAUCUGUUCCAACUAUCCGCCAGUAUUUCCUGACUGAACCGUACAGAUGGGCUGUGCCAGGGUUGGUUCUCAGACUUUCUAGACAACUGAAAAUUCUGUUUUUCUUUAUGUUUGGCUGUGGGAGUUGACCCAUUUUAGUUAAAAUACUUGAAACACAGAGAAAAUGAACAGUGAUUAAUGCACUUUCACCAAGAGCAUGUUCUUGUUAUGGUCUUGUGGAGUACUGGAGAUUUACAGAACACAGUGUGUAACCUCUAGGCUAGAUGCUCAUAGUUGUGAGCUUUUUGCAUUUCUGAGGCAUAUUUCAGCCUGUUGCUGGAUGUGGUAAUCUUUUAUUAUGGAACUGCUUGUUCAUUUGCUGAACAGAUGUGACCUAUGUAGUUGAGAGAGACUGAAGUGAAAGCCUUGCCUCGGUUACUGUAAGAAGCAUAUGCAAAGAAUAGUAAAAGAGGCAAGGUACGCCCAUAAAACUGCUGAAUUCUGCUGUGGAGGAAUUAAUUCAAUCCAUGCGUCUGCCACAAUGGUGUUUUUGUGAGAUGACAGUGAUGGACAAGUCACUUCAAGAAGAAUUUGGUCAGGAGACUGCUUAGCACAUGGGAAGUCGGUGGGAGUUGUUCUUAAAGAUCUAAAGUGUAAUGAAAAUGCCAAGCACUAUGAAGUAACAGGUCCAAGCUAUCACAAGCUUGGCAGCCAGAACUGGAGUUAUUAACCAGUAUGUUUUCUCGUCAGCUGCUUCACAAAUAACCAUUGUCUUAAAGUUAACAGAUUAUCAUUUUUUCCUUGAAAAGUGAAUGCCCCUUUUGAGGGGACAGAGUAUAUUCUAGUAAAUGAUUCAUGGAUUGACCGAUGCUUAUUGUAAUAAGUGACGUCCCAAUUUCCAGUAAGCUUUUCAGAGACUGCAGAUUGAUUUUAGCUCCUGGUUUGCAAGUAGGAGCUCACAGGUGGUGCAGAGCUGGUGAGGUGACCAUCAAGAAUCAAUUGAAGCCAGCAGAGAGUGAGAGAAGAAAGAUAACACUUGUUUGGAUGGGGCUGGAGGACCAGGGAAGAUACCAGUCACGGCUGAGUGAGGACUUGGAGCCUGAAUGAGGAGGUCUAAAGAUUAAAGGGGAACAGGAGGGGUAGAAAAUUCAAGAUUCAUAUCCCUAACCAUUUCUUUCGUCUUCUUCUUCUUCUUCUUCUUCUUCUUCUUUUUUUUUUUAAUUUUCAUUUGAAAUUUAAGAACUAAAAUAAGGAACGGUACUCAGAAAGUGAAUGCUUCUGAAGACAUUUCUUGCAUGUCUGUGCCCACUUAUAGGUAGAACAACGUAUGCUGCUUUUCACCCGAGCUAGAUAAAUCUCAUGACUUCUGGGACACAAACUCAAGAUUGAUGCCACGAGAGCUUGCCAUCUCUUCUAAGGAGCCCAGGCACAAGUCUCUGUUGUGGUUGCAGUUAAGGUGGCUAAGUAGCUAAAUGGCAAUGAACUCAAGUAUCCUUUUGUUGACACACCUCUGACUGUGAGCCGAUCAGUUGUAGGGCAGCUGAGAUUUCUAUGCUGAUAUAGAGUUAAGCAAGCUGUAAAAGAUGUAUGUAAACAAACUGGAAAGAAGAGAAAGCAGAAGCUAGGUACCCUAUCUGGCUACAAGCCCUCCUGAACAUUGAAGGAUAAGGUCUUAUAAAGGAAGCACUCCCUCUUCUAUUAAUGACAGCAUCAUUAGCAGUGCAGAUAUAUACAUCUCUUAAAUUAAUAGUGCAACAGAUUGUUCCUGCUGCACUUAAGAAGCAGUUCAAUGUAACAACCACAAGCUAAAAUAUUACCAAGCUUGUGAACUUCAAAGCAAACUUUCCUUCUUUUUAAAGAGUUUUAAAAAACAGCUGAGCAUAUUUUCUCCUACCUCAUCUUUAAAGAAAUUACAAAAGAAUGUAUACAGGAGGCCUGAAGUUCCUGCCAGUCCUUCAUCUUGGUUUUGUUGGCAUAUUGGCAGGGAAUCUGGACACUGAAAUUUACUCUUAAUGAGGACCUUGUUUUACGGAUGUGUUCUUGUUCUGUGUGGUAAUGCUUAUCUGAACUGCUUGUUCUCUUAUGGAGGGCCAAAAAAGAUACCUUGAAGAUAAACACUGAAGUAACGAGUCAAAAUGCUUACUUAUUUAUUAAGUUUGGGAGGUAUGGCUUGUCAUUAAGUUGAAUUUAUUGAUUUAUUGGUUGAUUUUAAGUGUACAGUAUAUCUGCAAUCUUCUGCAAUCUUUUCAAGGACUGGUCAACUAAGAGAAAAAAAGUGUGCUUUCUUUGGCUUAUGAUGGAUUGAACAUAGAGGCAGCAAAUAUUAGGUAGGAGUUGAUCAGUGCAAAUGAAAGCUGCAGGUAGUAGUUUGAAUGGAAACAAUGAUGUAGCUGAAGUGUACCUGAACAGGAACUUAAGGUGGAAAGCAAGAAUGUGAAGAAGUGGCAAGGACAGCAACUGUGCAGUGGAGCAAAUGAAGAGAACCUGAAAACACUUACCUAUAAAUGAAAAAAAAAAGCACCCCAGUAAGUAGCAACCAGCAAUAGGCAAGAAGGAUUAAAGCAAGUGAAAGAAAGCCCAGAAAUGCAGAAAUGCAUUAUUCUUACUGCUGAUUGCUAAGAAUCAUUAAGUGACUGUCACUGAAUGCUGGACUAAAAGCAAGGGAGAUGAAAAGUCAGAGGCUCUUUGAUGGGAGAGAGAAAUGAUGUGUCUGCCCCUUGAAAGUCACAGGCAGGGUUUCUAUUGGUUUUAUCAGAGCAGAAUUGGACUUUCUUUGAGCUAAGCUGAUGAAAAAUAAAUGCUUUUAUUUUGCAGUCCUACAUUUAUACGCAAUUCAUAUGUUGUCUUACAUUCCAUAGGUGGAGUUUUUAUACUCAGGAAAAUUUUCAGGACUGAGAACCCUGCAGUAUCUUUCCUUGCUUUUUCACUGGUAGCAGAGAAUGUCAGCUCCUCAGUACUUCUGUGCCUCAAACCUCCAGACACUGGUAGCUAGGAAAUGUUGCAGCCUCUGUGUCUGGUAGCUUGUGUCCUGUUCUGAGGGACUAAUAGAGCUGUCAUUCGUGUUGGAGAUUUUUCUCCCAGCUCAUUAGUAAAACUGGAAUUAACUGAGUAACUUGCUGACCAAAUAGCUGAGUAGAUGUGGGAGGCAGGCUGACAGCAGACUCAGUUUCAGCCAAUCUGUGAUUCCCUGAGCAAGGUGUCCGAUUCCUUUAUAAAUUUCUGUGGGUCUGAUUCCAAACAGAAUUAUCUUUCCGUUUGUUUUCAUUCAAUACAAAUCUGGUAAGUGUGGUUGACUGAAGAGCAAGGCGGCUCUCACUUUUUGAGGAGAGGAGAAAGGGAAUAUUUUCCCGUGUCAUGUAGCGUCACUGAAUCAAACAGCCCUAAGUAAUGCUCUAAUUGCAGUGAAAGCACUAUUAGGUACGGGAAUGCCAGGAGAGCUGUAGUCCUGCUUUCUGCCGGCAAGUAUGAGUCCGGUUGGCUGAAGAGCCAAUGUCACCUUUAGUUCCUCCUCACUCUGCAUUAGAGCAGCUGCAUGCAAGAACUGCUGAGCUGCUCUGACCGAGGAAUGAACACCAUGCAGAUGCG
Molecule: long non-coding RNA, 8934 nt
Organism: Tympanuchus pallidicinctus (lesser prairie-chicken)
Lineage: Eukaryota; Metazoa; Chordata; Aves; Galliformes; Phasianidae
Exons: 5
Source: RefSeq, a predicted model, not a curated record